GACGAACGCUGGCGGCGUGCUUAACACAUGCAAGUCGAACGGAAAGGCCCUGCUUUUGUGGGGUGCUCGAGUGGCGAACGGGUGAGUAACACGUGAGUAACCUGCCCUUGACUUUGGGAUAACUUCAGGAAACUGGGGCUAAUACCGGAUAGGAGCUCCUGCUGCAUGGUGGGGGUUGGAAAGUUUCGGCGGUUGGGGAUGGACUCGCGGCUUAUCAGCUUGUUGGUGGGGUAGUGGCUUACCAAGGCUUUGACGGGUAGCCGGCCUGAGAGGGUGACCGGCCACAUUGGGACUGAGAUACGGCCCAGACUCCUACGGGAGGCAGCAGUGGGGAAUAUUGCACAAUGGGCGGAAGCCUGAUGCAGCAACGCCGCGUGCGGGAGGACGGCCUUCGGGUGGUAAACCGCUUUCGCCUGUGACGAAGCGUGAGUGACGGUAAUGGGUAAGAAGCACCGGCUAACUACGUG
This 467-nucleotide ribosomal RNA is filed under the name uncultured bacterium. Its description in RNAcentral is "partial 16S ribosomal RNA". It matches the Rfam family "Bacterial small subunit ribosomal RNA", at positions 28 to 507 of the family's 1533-position model. The record is from RNAcentral.